This 530-nucleotide ribosomal RNA is filed under the name Alpheus bouvieri. RNAcentral's name for it is "partial 16S ribosomal RNA". It matches the Rfam family "Bacterial large subunit ribosomal RNA", at positions 1829 to 2621 of the family's 2925-position model. Lineage: Eukaryota; Metazoa; Arthropoda; Malacostraca; Decapoda; Alpheidae. The record is from RNAcentral.
GUCCUCAUGGGUGUAUGAGGUCUGGCCUGCCCACUGAUGAUUUAAAGGGCCGCGGUAUACUGACCGUGCAAAGGUAGCAUAGUCAAUAGUCUCUUAAUUGGAGGCUUGAAUGAACGGUCGGACAUGGGGGAGACUGUCUUUGGUUAGUUCAGGUGAAUUUAACUUUUGUGUGAAAAGGCAUUAAUAUUUUAAGGGGACGAUAAGACCCUAUAAAACUUGACGGUUAAGCUGGGUUCAUUCGAUUGUAGUGUAUAAAGGAGGAUUGAGUUGGUCCGUUGUGCUGGGGCGGCAAGAAUAAAAUUUGUAACUGUUCUUCAUUAUAAAAUAAUUAUAUUUAGAGUUUGACCCUAAAUUUCGGGUUAUAAGAUUAAGUUACUUUAGGGAUAACAGCGUUAUUUUCCUUGAGAGUCCGUAUCGACAGGGAUGGUUGCGACCUCGAUGUUGAAUUAAAGCUUUCUCCAGGAGUAGAAGUUUGGGUGGUAGGUCUGUUCGACCUUUAAAGCUUUACAUGAUUUGAGUUCAAACCGGUG